This is a non-coding RNA of Trichonephila inaurata madagascariensis, 73 nucleotides long. The record is from the annotation of a GenBank genome assembly. NCBI's taxonomy places the organism in Eukaryota, Metazoa, Arthropoda, Arachnida, Araneae, Nephilidae.
GUCUCUGUAGUGCAAUGGAUAGCACGAUAGACUUCUAAUCCAGAAGUCGUGGGUUCGAAUCCCACCUGGGAUG